Molecule: long non-coding RNA, 509 nt
Filed under: Jatropha curcas
Lineage: Eukaryota; Viridiplantae; Streptophyta; Magnoliopsida; Malpighiales; Euphorbiaceae
Description: long non-coding RNA (JCUR_LNC001083)
Source: RNAcentral
CGUGAUAAAAUCAACACGCUGAGUAUAAAACUCAGUGGUGCUCAUAAAACACAACAAACCAAUGUUGCGAUGGCAACACACUUAAAAUAUCAAUUUUCAUCAAAAGAUUUACAAUCAUAAAAUCAUUAACGCUUUAAUAUACAUUUACAUUUAUAACAAAAUGAUCAAAUAAAACUAUUAAUAUGUUAUUCGUUCAAAUCAUAAAUUCAUUAUUUGAAAUUGUAGUACACCAAUACAUAUACUGGUUAUUUAGAAAACCAUGUAACGUAAUAUCCUGCUUUGACAAUUCAUUUAAUAACAUAUAAUCAUUUAUUUCCAAGCUACCUGAAAAAUAUGUUUACAAGGGCUCACAUACACUUAGGAGAAAAAGAAGCAGAUAGGUUUUCAGAACAGAUUCAGAAUGGCCUUAGGUCGCCAACAGAUUCAGAACAUAUAGAGCGCGUCCGCCCUAACAGAACAGAAGGCACCCACGUGCCUAGCAUAUGAUCAUAGCUUCUUAUCAAAAUGNN